This 301-nucleotide ribosomal RNA is filed under the name uncultured bacterium. RNAcentral describes it as "partial 16S ribosomal RNA". It matches the Rfam family "Bacterial small subunit ribosomal RNA", at positions 509 to 807 of the family's 1533-position model. The record is from RNAcentral.
CAGUCGCCGCGGUAAUACGAAGGGUGCAAGCGUUAAUCGGAAUUACUGGGCGUAAAGCGUGCGUAGGCGGUUUGUUAAGUCUGUUGUGAAACCCCCGGGCUCAACCUGGGAAUGGCAAUGGAUACUGGCAAGCUAGAGUGUGUCAGAGGAUGGUGGAAUUCCCGGUGUAGCGGUGAAAUGCGUAGAGAUCGGGAGGAACAUCAGUGGCGAAGGCGGCCAUCUGGGACAACACUGACGCUGAGGCACGAAAGCGUGGGGAGCAAACAGGAUUAGAUACCCCCGUAGUCCCUGUCUCUUAUAC